UGGGGAAUAUUGGACAAUGGGGGCAACCCUGAUCCAGCGACGCCGCGUGGGUGAAGAAGGCCUGCGGGUUGUAAAGCCCUUUCGGUGGGGAAGAAAAGUUGCGACCUAACACGUCGCGACCCUGACGUAACCCACUAAAGAAGCACCGGCUAACUCUGUGCCAGCAGCCGCGGUAAUACAGAGGGUGCGAGCGUUAAUCGGAAUUACUGGGCGUAAAGCGCGCGUAGGCGGCUUUGCAAGUCGGGUGUGAAAUCCCCAGGCCUAACCUGGGAACUGCAUUCGAGACUGCAUGGCUAGAGUAUCGGAGAGGGAAGUGGAAUUUCAGGUGUAGCGGUGAAAUGCGUAGAUAUCUGAAGGAACAUCAGUGGCGAAAGCGACUUCCUGGACGAAUACUGACGCUCAUGUGCGAAAGCGUGGGGAGCAAACA
This 427-nucleotide ribosomal RNA is filed under the name uncultured Sinobacteraceae bacterium. RNAcentral's name for it is "bacterial SSU rRNA". It matches the Rfam family "Bacterial small subunit ribosomal RNA", at positions 355 to 774 of the family's 1533-position model. The record is from RNAcentral. Lineage: Bacteria; Pseudomonadati; Pseudomonadota; Gammaproteobacteria; Nevskiales; Nevskiaceae.